UGAGUAACGCGUGGGAAUCUACCCAUCUCUACGGAACAACUCCGGGAAACUGGAGCUAAUACCGUAUACGUCCUUCGGGAGAAAGAUUUAUCGGAGAUGGAUGAGCCCGCGUUGGAUUAGCUAGUUGGUGGGGUAAUGGCCUACCAAGGCGACGAUCCAUAGCUGGUCUGAGAGGAUGAUCAGCCACAUUGGGACUGAGACACGGCCCAAACUCCUACGGGAGGCAGCAGUGGGGAAUAUUGGACAAUGGGCGAAAGCCUGAUCCAGCCAUGCCGCGUGAGUGAUGAAGGCCCUAGGGUUGUAAAGCUCUUUCAACGGUGAAGAUAAUGACGGUAACCGUAGAAGAAGCCCCGGCUAACUUCGUGCCAGCAGCCGCGGUAAUACGAAGGGGGCUAGCGUUGUUCGGAAUUACUGGGCGUAAAGCGCACGUAGGCGGAUUGUUAAGUUAGGGGUGAAAUCCCAGGGCUCAACCCUGGAACUGCCUUUAAUACUGGCAAUCUCGAGUCCGAGAGAGGUGAGUGGAAUUCCGAGUGUAGAGGUGAAAUUCGUAGAUAUUCGGAGGAACACCAGUGGCGAA
This 577-nucleotide ribosomal RNA is filed under the name Mesorhizobium sp. BR-15-Braganca. Its description in RNAcentral is "bacterial SSU rRNA". It matches the Rfam family "Bacterial small subunit ribosomal RNA", at positions 107 to 719 of the family's 1533-position model. RNAcentral also lists the same sequence under 18 other names. The record is from RNAcentral. Lineage: Bacteria; Pseudomonadati; Pseudomonadota; Alphaproteobacteria; Hyphomicrobiales; Phyllobacteriaceae.